AGCUUUGCCCAGUGGCAGUAUCGUAGCCAAUGAAGUUUAUCCCAGGUGCAAUUAUUGCUAAUUGAAAACUUUUCCCAAUACCCCGCCAUGACAACUUGAAAUACAGUCAGUGUUGGCAACUUUGAGCAGACUCUAAGGGGA
Small nuclear RNA from Cebus imitator (Panamanian white-faced capuchin), 141 nucleotides. Its record names the gene U4. It matches the Rfam family "U4 spliceosomal RNA". Rfam says of the family: U4 small nuclear RNA (U4 snRNA) is a component of the major U2-dependent spliceosome. The structure of U4 snRNA from yeast and human has been reported. The record is from Ensembl. NCBI's taxonomy places the organism in Eukaryota, Metazoa, Chordata, Mammalia, Primates, Cebidae.